Molecule: long non-coding RNA, 617 nt
Organism: Perca flavescens (yellow perch)
Lineage: Eukaryota; Metazoa; Chordata; Actinopteri; Perciformes; Percidae
Exons: 3
Source: RefSeq, a predicted model, not a curated record
CCAACAUGGUAGAGGGAUCUGCAAGACCUUACCAGUUAGAGCCUGAAUACUCAAGUUCAGAGGAUUCAGGCGAAGAGGACCAAUUAUUUUCUUUUAGAAGAGGUCAGCAGGACGUUUCAGAGUGUUGAUGUUUAAUGUUACUACGGGUGCACAUGUGGACAUUGUGAGCGGAUGCCGUCCGAGGUUGAAAAUGUGUGCUGCAGGGAGAUACCUCAGGUCAGAAGAAGAUGUGACGAGCUACCUGACCCACCACAGUGUAUGGUGGACCACCCAGGCCUGGAACCUGUCUGUCUGAACCCUUAUUCACUGCAGAACGCAUUGAAUAUUUAAUGGAGUGAUUAUGGGCCUCUGAGGCUUAGAGUAAUGACAAAGUAAGUGCUCCAACAAAUAGCUGUAUAUAAAUAUUAUAAACCGUUUUAAUUCUAUUAUCCUACAUUAAUUAAACCAGAAAACUCCUGUUGUACAACACCAAGAAGUAUGAGGGCCACAGCAGAGAAACAAUUGGCAACAGAAGCUUACAAAUGUUUAAUUCAACCUUCUCCAGUCUGUAGGAAGCCUUUGAUCCUACGAAAUUAUUUUAAAACUGUUUAGAAAAUGCCUUUGGAUGCCAAAUGUAA